UAGGCAUCAGUGGCAGCGUAGGAUUUUUGAGCAUCGCUGAGAGGUUGAAUGUGCCACUUACUGCGUCGUACUUUAGGAUCUUUGGAAAUUUCUUUUUGAAGCUAAUAUUGAGAUACAUCGAUUUAAUGAUGCCAACUGGGUUUUGUGAGAGUUCGAUUACUGCCGUUUGAUUAUGAAGACAAGAGUAUCCGCAAGUGUAUUACCCAUUUAAUUUCCUAGUAAUGUUAACAUAAAAUUAACUCACCACAUAAGCUGUAAGAUUUGCCAUGCUCCAUCGACACGAUCGAUUUAGUGUUGCAUUUGCAAAUGUACCACAAUCAAUGCAAUUAUUUUCAACAACCUUUUGAGAUGGGAAUUCUUUGAAAUCUCUACCAAGUUUCCAUACGUCACUAAAAAAAAAACGUUAUUUGGCUACGUUUUCUAUUGCACCAAAUACAGUUAAUGAAAACAGAUUUCAUAAAACAAUAAUGUCUUAAAUACUCUGUUGCCAAGAUAUGACAUGUAUUGCUCAUCUGACUAUUUAAGAACGAACUUUUCAACAAGAAGGAAGCAAUUAAAAAGUAUAAAGACUGAGAGAACACAUCUGCUACUCUUACAAAUGUACUAAGUAUACUAGUUAUGGUUUUUCAUCUAUCAUUAUAAAAUUUACCGAUGUAUCAUGUACAUCAAGUUUUGAUUGUUCACAUUGGAUUUAUAACUUAUAUUGUUACCAGUGCUCCAUAAAAGUAUUUAUACAGAUAAAUCAGUGCACUAAUUGCCACUAAACUGAAUUACCAAGACUCAUUUAUCCUGUAAGAACUAUUUAACAGAAUUUAAUAUUAAGUACCGUUGAGUUUGCGAUCAAGCUUAAUCGAUUGAAACUUAAGGUACAUGACUCAUCUUUAUUACCCCUAAAACAGUGUAUUGAGUCUAUUUUCAACACGAUCGUAUUUGUAA
Long non-coding RNA from Neodiprion fabricii, 936 nucleotides. RefSeq lists it as uncharacterized. Lineage: Eukaryota; Metazoa; Arthropoda; Insecta; Hymenoptera; Diprionidae. The record is from RefSeq and is a predicted model, not a curated record. The transcript has 2 exons.